UAGGGAAUCUUCGGCAAUGGGGGGAACCCUGACCGAGCAACGCCGCGUGAGUGAAGAAGGUUUUCGGAUCGUAAAGCUCUGUUGUUAAGGAAGAACGAGUGUGAGAAUGGAAAGUUCAUACUGUGACGGUACUUAACCAGAAAGGGACGGCUAACUACGUGCCAGCAGCCGCGGUAAUACGUAGGUCCCGAGCGUUGUCCGGAUUUAUUGGGCGUAAAGCGAGCGCAGGCGGUUAGAUAAGUCUGAAGUGAAAGCCCCCGGCUCAACCGGGGAGGGUCAUUGGAAACUGGUUGACUUGAGUGCAGAAGAGGAGAGUGGAAUUCCAUGUGUAGCGGUGAAAUGCGUAGAUAUAUGGAGGAACACCAGUGGCGAAGGCGACUCUCUGGUCUGUAACUGACGCUGAGGCUCGAAAGCGUGGGUAGCAAACAGG
Molecule: ribosomal RNA, 430 nt
Filed under: Bacteroidota bacterium
Lineage: Bacteria; Pseudomonadati; Bacteroidota
Description: Bacteroidetes bacterium partial 16S ribosomal RNA
Rfam family: Bacterial small subunit ribosomal RNA
Source: RNAcentral